Daucus carota subsp. sativus is the source of this 3869-nucleotide long non-coding RNA. RefSeq lists it as uncharacterized. The transcript is spliced from 6 exons. The record is from RefSeq and is a predicted model, not a curated record. Lineage: Eukaryota; Viridiplantae; Streptophyta; Magnoliopsida; Apiales; Apiaceae.
UUCUUUCAAAUUCUGUGAUUUUCUGGAUUUUUCCUAUUUAAUCCUCUCACGCGAUUUUCUGGAUUUUUCCUAUUUAAUAAUCACAAUUUUUUAAAGUAGCAUAUUUUUUUAAGGCUAGCUGAAGGGUUACUGGGUUCAUGCCUUUUUGGUGUCUUGUAUAUCAAACGCCUUGAUAAACCCCGCAGCAUCGAAAACCCCUUCACCCAAUUCGGCUCAAUCUCUCUCAAACUUCAAAGAUGCAAUCGCAGGCCUACAGCAAAGCGUCCGAGACAGAGAGAUAGAGGAGAUGAUUGUAUAUUGGGUCGCAACAUUGAUUUGGAUAUACUGAUGAUCUUGGGUAGUUUUUUUUUUUUUUUUAAUUUUUUCCUCUCUUUUUGUUUCUCAGGCUUUAUUUAAGCGUUUGUUUUCAAGCGCUCUCCUGAUUCUCACAAUCAUACCACACAUCUUGUAUUCUCCUCCAGUUGUUCUUGGCGUACAGUGGAGCAUUGUAGUGUACUGUUGCGAAACACCUUGACAUCUUGUAUGGAUUUUUCCUGUUAUCAGUCUUUUGGGUUAGGUGUUUAUUAAUUUAGUGAUUUUUACUAUUUAGAAAUUUACUUAUAUGAGGCAUCAAUGUGAUUUUCUGCAUUUGAGUUAGAUAUUGUAAAAAAAAUCUGAAAGCUUACAAAAUUUUGUCAAUGCUUUUUUUUAUUGUGAUUCAGUGUGCUGGCGGUUCAUAUGGAGCUGGCAAUGCUAUGCAAGAUGAAAAUUAAGGAUCAUCAUAAGCAUGUCCUGGAAUAUCGAAAAUCUGUACUCCAAAAAAGAAGAGGCGAUGGCUUGCAUUAAUCAGGUUUUAUUCUUGCAAUUUUUUUUUGGCCUCCCACUUCCUUCAUGUAUAUUUCACUGUUAUUGUAAAAAGGGUCAUAUGUUCUGGUCCAUUUCUGCAAGUGUCAUAGAGACAAGUCUAUAAUGUAGUUAUUUGCAAACUUCUGGCCUCCUGAACUCGAAAUUGAAAUUUUAUUUGGCCUAUGGUUUUUUGAGGAGAUGGCAGAUGGGAAUGGCCUCAAGCUCUGCUGUUCAUGAUUCCUCAAUUGCAGGGCAUUGAGCCUCAGUUCUCUUAAUUACUACCGUUUGAGCAUGAAUUCUGCUAACUGUGUGUAUUAAGUGUUUUCGCUCCUCAGGAUCUCUUGUCUAUUUUCUCUGAAAUUCUUGAAAUUUUGGAAUUCCUGGCAAAAAUCGAAAGGUCUCCUAUUAAUUAUUAAUUUUGCUACUUCAGUUAAGUAAUUUGUAAAGGCUGAAACUGAGAGUUUUUAACUUCAAGUUCACAUCUCAAAACUAACAUCAACAAAAGUUGCUCGUCAUGGCAGCCAGAUCUUUUUCGAAUACAAACAACAAUUAUCAUCCUAAAAGCUGUGAUUUCGCUUCCGAUAUUUCUCCUGCAAUGAUUACUUUGAUCAAGUAAUUUCAACGGCGUUCACUGGUUUCCACUCCUCCGAUCCUGUCAGUGCCAUUCUUACGAGAUGUGGUAAUGUAGCCGCCAUUCUUCAGCUCGAUGAGAAUCUUAAUAAGAAAUUACGUGUUUUUGAAGCAGCACCACAGGAAUCAAGAGGAGCUCCUGCCAGAAAAGCCACCACCUGAUUAUUUUAUAUGAGAAUAAUUUGUUGAAGUGAUGCCAAUUCUCGGCUUAAUGACUCUACAUCCAAAUAUGACAGUGAUACUUGAGGAUUUAAGGAGGGUCUUCACACGGAUGACAUGGAGCCUCUCAACUCUCUUAUUUUAUUUUUCCUGAAUUCUCAGGAGCUCUCAUCUAUUUUCUCUCAAAUUCUAGAAUCUCUGUACUCCUAUUUGUUAAUUUUGAGAUUUCCGCUACAGAAAUCGAAAGGUCUCACUAUUUCACUAUUGAGAUUGCUGCUUUGGUUACAUAUUAGCUUCUAACUUCGGGUUCUUGAGGCAAAGAUGCAAUCGCAGACCUGCAGCAAAGCGCCCGAGACAGAGAGAGAGAGAGGAGAUGAUUGUAUGUUGGGUCGCCACAUUGAUUUGGAUAUACUGAUAAUCUCGGGUGUGGAUAUGGUUUUUGUUACAAUUGUGCACCUCCUUUGAUAAGCCACCGAUGUCCUCAAUGUAACUAGGCAAUGAACACAGGGAGCCAAGUCGUAGGUACGUCUGAUGAGCUAAUGACUUUAGUACCAACUAUUUAGAAAUUUACUUUCACUUAUAUGAAGCAUCAAUGUGAGCCUCUGCAUCUGAGUUAGAUUUUAUGCAAUGUAUGAUCUGUUGCGGGUGUUCAAUGUAUUCUAAUAUCUAUGUAAGUAGAUAAAGUGAAAGUUGUGUCGAGAUCUAUACCGUUUCCUUAUAUAUUAAAUAUUGAUAUGUUGAGUUGGAUAUAGUCUUCUUAAUUUCAUCUUUUUUGAUCCGAGUUUUUGAUAACCGAUAUAAAUGAUGACUGUAACGCGAAGGCAGAUAGAGAAAUUGAUGAUGGGAAAAAACAGAGGUUAACCUUACGCAUUGCUUAAACUUUUUGUUAGAGCGUGAUGCUUGAGUUAUGCAUCAGUGGCAAUGAUUCCAUCUGCAGAGGAGAUCGAAGAGUUCUUCUCUCUAGCAAAAAGGCAGGAGCAGAAAUGAUUUGCAGAGAAGUAAGAUUUGAUAUUUCACUUGUGCAUGAAUAAUCCUAAAGUCUAGCCAAUGUCACAAAUUUAAGAUACUAAUGACUCUGUUGGAUGUCGGUUUGAUUUUAUUUUUGUUUUAUCAUGUAUAAUUUUGACAUUGUGAAGGAUGUGCAACUCGAAGGAAGGUACCUCUGGGUUUGUUUAAAGCCAUGAUAAAGUACUACUAGCAUUUCUGAGUAAUAAAUUUCUACAGUAAGUGUUUGAACAAUACCGACAAAUCCCUCAUUUCUCAGUCGAUUAAGUAGCGCAGAAGUAGGAACUUCAUUGCAGUAACAAUUUUUGUGUGAACUGAAUUGAGGUUAUUAUUUGCCGGUACAUUCUGCAUAUGCAAAUGGCUCGAAGAGUUGCACGUGACGUUCAUCUGUGUCGUCUACUUUUCUGUUUUCGCUCUUUCUGGCUUGCACUGGUUGCAAAGAUUUUGGUGUCUCUUUUAAUGAGAAAGUUCACUUUGUUUUAUCACGUUUGGUUGCAUUUUUCUUCAUAAAUUUGUCAGGCUGUUUGCUUUUUGUGGCUCUUACUUUCUUAUAUAAUCAUAUAUGUUGUUUGAGUAUGUGCAGGGGGGUCUCGUGUUUAGUAUAGAACAAUAUUAGCCUAAAGCUUGACGUGUUAUUAAGAUUUAGUUCCGAGUAUCAAAAACUCGGCAAUCAAGAAUGUGAUGAGGCAAAUAAAUAUAACCCAGCGAAGAAAGAAAACCAAAGUAUUGAUCAGUUAAUAUUAGGAAUUUUCCGAUUUAUUUUGCUAAACUUUUAGUGUGAAUUACAUGUUUCAGUGGCAUCAAGGCUUUAGAAGAGCAAUAUGGAGUAGAUAGUAUUGCACUUCAGAGGAGUCAACAUUAAACGUGAAGUUUACUUCACAGCAAGCACCACGUCAAUUGCAGGAGAAAAAGAGCGGAUCUGGUUCAUUUUUUAUGGCAGAGGUGCUGCUGGUUAGGGGAAUUCUUGCAUGGCUGACUGGAAUCAUUCUUUUAAUUUCCACUCUCUUGGGGACUUGGCAAGACAAUUCAUUUUGUUCUGUGCGUUGGUAUUCCCUCGAGUCCAUUGCUAUCAAGAGAAUCUAUUUUCAGCACUAUUCUGUAAAUCAUCAUCGUAGUUUUCUAUGUAGCAUAGUUGGACGGGGCUUCUGCAGAUACAUAUAUGGUACACGAAGAUUAUUUUGUUAGUAUUGUAAUGUGAAGUUGUUAACCUGUAAAAGUAGUACCAAAUAAUGUGUUCAAGGUUACUUCUA